GGGAAACUCCCCUAUAAAUGGGCUGAAUGGUACUGGUGGCUCUGUUUUGUUAGCAAAGAAGUGCUGCUAAAAAUUCAGAUGGCAGUUCUUCACUGGUUUCACUGGGUAAUGGAAGAUUUUAUGGAAGUAUAAUGUUCAUCUGGAGAUCAUGCAGGUCCAUCUUCAAUGCUGUUUCAAGCUCAAGGCUCCUCUGAGGUCCUGAAUGAUUGCUGCUACAGUUGGACGAGCAGGGUAUCUGACUGGCCUUUCUUGAAAGUGAUGAAGGCUUGUCCUGCAAACUGUUGAGAAAUGUAUUUACUUUGCAGUUUUCAGUGUUUCUGAAGACAGUGGACAGAUCUGUAAAUCAUUUAGUGCAGAAUAAAACAUUUGAAAAUAUUUGUUUUUGCUUGAAGUAACAUGAAAUGAUCAAUAAAAAUAUAUUUCAGUUUG
Long non-coding RNA from Astyanax mexicanus (Mexican tetra), 429 nucleotides. RefSeq lists it as uncharacterized. The transcript is spliced from 2 exons. The record is from RefSeq and is a predicted model, not a curated record. NCBI's taxonomy places the organism in Eukaryota, Metazoa, Chordata, Actinopteri, Characiformes, Acestrorhamphidae.